UACGGAGGGUGCAAACGUUGCUCGGAAUCAUUGGGCGUAAAGCGCACGUAGGCGGUCCGCUAAGUCGGGUGUGAAAUCCCUCGGCUCAACCGAGGAAGUGCAUUCGAAACUGACGGACUUGAGUAUGGAAGAGGGUCGUGGAAUUCCCGGUGUAGAGGUGAAAUUCGUAGAUAUCGGGAGGAACACCAGUGGCGAAGGCGGCGACCUGGGCCAAUACUGACGCUGAGGUGCGAAAGCGUGGGGAGCAAACGGG
This 253-nucleotide ribosomal RNA is filed under the name uncultured bacterium. Its description in RNAcentral is "partial 16S ribosomal RNA". It matches the Rfam family "Bacterial small subunit ribosomal RNA", at positions 524 to 776 of the family's 1533-position model. The record is from RNAcentral.